RNAcentral lists this transfer RNA (67 nucleotides) under Squilloides leptosquilla. Its description in RNAcentral is "tRNA-Leu". Lineage: Eukaryota; Metazoa; Arthropoda; Malacostraca; Stomatopoda; Squillidae. The record is from RNAcentral.
UCUAAAAUGGCAGAAAAGUGCAAUGGAUUUAAGCUCCAUAUAUGAAAGAAUUGUCUUUCUUUUAGAA